GCGGCUGGCGUACCGGCUGAUGCUGCGCCGGCCGUGGGGGCCGGCGCUCUGGGACUCGUACUACCGCCGGUUCUAUCCCGGCCGGCCCCC
This 90-nucleotide transfer RNA is filed under the name Plantactinospora endophytica. Its description in RNAcentral is "tRNA-Pro". The record is from RNAcentral. Lineage: Bacteria; Bacillati; Actinomycetota; Actinomycetes; Micromonosporales; Micromonosporaceae.